This 460-nucleotide ribosomal RNA is filed under the name uncultured bacterium. Its description in RNAcentral is "partial 16S ribosomal RNA". It matches the Rfam family "Bacterial small subunit ribosomal RNA", at positions 338 to 795 of the family's 1533-position model. The record is from RNAcentral.
CCUACGGGUGGCAGCAGUGAGGAAUAUUGGUCAAUGGCCGAGAGGCUGAACCAGCCAAGUCGCGUGAGGGAAGAAUGUCCUAUGGAUUGUAAACCUCUUUUGUCAGGGAGCAAAGUCACCCACGUGUGGGUGUUGGAGAGUACCUGACUAAGAAGCCCCGGCUAACUACGUGCCAGCAGCCGCGGUAAUACGUAGGGGGCAAGCGUUAUCCGGAUUUACUGGGUGUAAAGGGAGCGUAGACGGCAGCGCAAGUCUGGAGUGAAAUGCCGGGGCCCAACCCCGGAACUGCUCUGGAAACGGUGAAGCUGGAGUGCAGGAGAGGUAAGCGGAAUUCCUGGUGUAGCGGUGAAAUGCGUAGAUAUCAGGAGGAACACCGGCGGCGAAGGCGGCUUACUGGACUGUAACUGACGUUGAGGCUCGAAGGCGUGGGGAGCAAACAGGAUUAGAUACCCGGGUAGUC